CGAGUGAAGAGGGAAGAGCCCAAGAUUGAAAGCUGGCGUCUUCGGCGUCCGCAUUGUAAUCUCAAGAAGUGUUUUCCGCUUCGGACCAAGCCUAAGUCCCCUGGAAAGGGGCAUCAUAGAGGGUGAUAAUCCCGUACAUGGCUUGGAGCGCCCGAGGCUUUGUGAUACGCUUUCUAAGAGUCGAGUUGUUUGGGAAUGCAGCUCAAAAUGGGUGGUAAAUGCCAUCUAAGGCUAAAUAUUGGGGAGAGACCGAUAGCGAACAAGUACAGUGAUGGAAAGAUGAAAAGAACUUUGAAAAGAGAGUUAAACAGUACGUGAAAUUGCCAAAAGGGAAGGGUAGGAGGUCAGAGAUGCGGCCUGGGAUUCAGCCUUGCUUUUGCUUGGUGUUUUUCCCAGAUUGCAGGCCAACGUCGGUUUUGGGCACUGGAGAAGGGUAGGAGGAACGUGGCACCCCUCGGGGUGUGUUAUAGCCUCCUACUGGAUACAGCGACCGAGACCGAGGACAGCAGCGUACUCGCAAGAGCGGGCCUUCGGGCACCUUUACGCUUAGG
This 551-nucleotide ribosomal RNA is filed under the name Moesziomyces antarcticus. RNAcentral describes it as "LSU rRNA". It matches the Rfam family "Eukaryotic large subunit ribosomal RNA", at positions 90 to 720 of the family's 3401-position model. Lineage: Eukaryota; Fungi; Basidiomycota; Ustilaginomycetes; Ustilaginales; Ustilaginaceae. The record is from RNAcentral.